GACGAACGCUGGCGGCGUGCCUAAUACAUGCAAGUUGAGCGAUGAAGAUUGGUGCUUGCACCAAUUUGAAGAGCAGCGAACGGGUGAGUAACGCGUGGGGAAUCUGCCUUUGAGCGGGGGACAACAUUUGGAAACGAAUGCUAAUACCGCAUAACAACUUUAAACAUAAGUUUUAAGUUUGAAAGAUGCAAUUGCAUCACCCAAAGAUGAUCCCGCGUUGUAUUAGCUAGUUGGUGAGGUAAAGGCUCACCAAGGCGAUGAUACAUAGCCGACCUGAGAGGGUGAUCGGCCACAUUGGGACUGAGACACGGCCCAAACUCCUACGGGAGGCAGCAGUAGGGAAUCUUCGGCAAUGGACGAAAGUCUGACCGAGCAACGCCGCGUGAGUGAAGAAGGUUUUCGGAUCGUAAAACUCUGUUAGUAGAGAAGAACGUUGGUGAGAGUGGAAAGCUCAUCAAGGGACGGUAACUACCCAGAAAGGGACGGCUAACUACGU
This 496-nucleotide ribosomal RNA is filed under the name uncultured bacterium. Its description in RNAcentral is "partial 16S ribosomal RNA". It matches the Rfam family "Bacterial small subunit ribosomal RNA", at positions 28 to 506 of the family's 1533-position model. The record is from RNAcentral.